AGGAUUAACGCUGGCGGCGUGCCUAACACAUGCAAGUCGAACGAGGUAGCAAUACCUAGUGGCAGACGGGUGAGUAACGCGUGGUCAACCUACCGUUGAGUGGGGGAUAACUAGCCGAAAGGUUAGCUAAUACCGCAUACGUCUCCGAGGGGCAUCCCUUGGCGAUAAAAGGAGCAAUCCGCUCGAUGACGGGACCGCGUCCCAUUAGCUAGAUGGUGGGGUAACGCCUACCAUGGCACCGAUGGGUAGCUGGUUUGAGAGAGCGACCAGCCACACUGGGACUGAGAAACGGCCCAGACUCCUACGGGAGGCAGCAGUGAGGAAUUUUCCGCAAUGGGCGCAAGCCUGACGGAGCGACGCCGCGUGUGGGAAGAAGGCCUUCGGGUCGUAAACCACUGUCGAAGGGGACGAGUAAUGACGGUACCCUUGGAGGAAGCCCCGGCUAACUACGUGCCAGCAGCCGC
RNAcentral lists this ribosomal RNA (464 nucleotides) under uncultured bacterium. RNAcentral's name for it is "SSU rRNA". It matches the Rfam family "Bacterial small subunit ribosomal RNA", at positions 26 to 518 of the family's 1533-position model. The record is from RNAcentral.